UACGAAGGGGGCUAGCGUUGCUCGGAAUUACUGGGCGUAAAGCGCACGUAGGCGGCUUUUUAAGUCAGGGGUGAAAUCCUGGAGCUCAACUCCAGAACUGCCUUUGAUACUGAGAAGCUUGAGUUCGGGAGAGGUGAGUGGAACUGCGAGUGUAGAGGUGAAAUUCGUAGAUAUUCGCAAGAACACCAGUGGCGAAGGCGGCUCACUGGCCCGAUACUGACGCUGAGGUGCGAAAGCGUGGGGAGCAAACAGG
This 253-nucleotide ribosomal RNA is filed under the name uncultured bacterium. RNAcentral describes it as "partial 16S ribosomal RNA". It matches the Rfam family "Bacterial small subunit ribosomal RNA", at positions 524 to 776 of the family's 1533-position model. The record is from RNAcentral.